UGGGGAAUAUUGGACAAUGGGGGAAACCCUGAUCCAGCGAUGCCGCGUGAGUGACGAAGGCCCUCGGGUUGUAAAGCUCUUUCGCUUGUGAAGAUAAUGACGGUAGCAAGAUAAGAAGUCCCGGCUAACUCCGUGCCAGCAGCCGCGGUAAGACGGAGGGGACUAGCGUUGUUCGGAAUGACUGGGCGUAAAGGGUGCGUAGGCUGCUCUUUAAGUGAGGCGUGAAAGCCCCGGGCUUAACCUGGGAACUGCGUUUCAGACUGGAGAGCUAGAGGAUGGAAGAGGGAAGUGGAAUUCCUAGUGUAGGGGUGAAAUCCGUAGAUAUUAGGAAGAACACCAGAGGCGAAGGCGACUUCCUGGUCCAUCACUGACGCUGAGGCACGAAAGCGUGGGGAGCGAAAAGG
This 404-nucleotide ribosomal RNA is filed under the name uncultured bacterium. Its description in RNAcentral is "bacterial SSU rRNA". It matches the Rfam family "Bacterial small subunit ribosomal RNA", at positions 355 to 776 of the family's 1533-position model. The record is from RNAcentral.